Molecule: ribosomal RNA, 358 nt
Filed under: uncultured soil bacterium
Lineage: Bacteria
Description: bacterial SSU rRNA
Rfam family: Bacterial small subunit ribosomal RNA
Source: RNAcentral
AGAUUGAACGCUGGCGGCAUGCCUAACACAUGCAAGUCGAACGGGAGUAGCAAUACUCUAGUGGCGGACGGGUGAGGAAUACGUAGGAAUUUGCCCUUAAGUGGGGGAUAACCCGGGGAAACCCGGAUUAAUACCGCAUGACCUCGAAAGAGCAAAGUGGGGGAUCGCAAGACCUCACGCUUUUGGAGAAGCCUACGUCGGAUUAGCUAGUUGGUGAGGUAAUGGCUCACCAAGGCGACGAUCCGUAACUGGUCUGAGAGGAUGAUCAGUCACACCGGAACUGAGACACGGUCCGGACUCCUACGGGAGGCAGCAGUGGGGAAUAUUGGACAAUGGGCGCAAGCCUGAUCCAGCAAUG